RNAcentral lists this ribosomal RNA (497 nucleotides) under uncultured bacterium. RNAcentral's name for it is "partial 16S ribosomal RNA". It matches the Rfam family "Bacterial small subunit ribosomal RNA", at positions 29 to 507 of the family's 1533-position model. The record is from RNAcentral.
AGUGAACGCUGGCGGCAGGCCUAACACAUGCAAGUCGAACGAACACACAGUGAGAGUUUGCCUUUACGGGUGGCGAGGGACGGGUGGGUAACGCAUGCAUCGGAUACCUAUUUUACUGGGGGGAUAACGUGGAACAAGAUACACUAAUGCAGAAUACAUUCAACGGGUGGGAUCAAUGGUUAUUGACGCCUUUCGCGAUAGUAAUAGAUGAUUCCGGGUCGGAUUAGCUAGUUGGUAAGGUAACGGCCUAGCAAGGCAACGAUGCGUAGCUGAUCUGAGAGGGUGAUCGGCCACACUGGAACUGAGACACGGUCCAGACUCCUACGGGAGGCAGCAGUGGGGAAUCUUGCGCAAUGGGCGAAAGCCUGACCCAGCCAUACCGCGUGAGUGAAGAAGGCCUUCGGGUCGUAAAGCCCUGUUGUUAGGAAAGAAAAGAAGUAGAUUAAUACACCGCUGUUCUGACGGUACCCAAAGAAUAAGCCCCGGCUAACUUCGUG